AUACAGUUCCGCAUCAGACGGCGCUCAGACCACCAGACUCUCCUGGGAAAAUGACAACAGUGAGCUGUUGUUUCCUCAGUUUGUUAUGUUUUAGCUAUUUGAGGACUCAUUGUGUUUGUCUCUAUCCCGGAUGGCCCAUUUAUGGUGAUUCAAUGUAAAUGCAUUCUUCAGAUCCCAUGUAUCAGCCGAGGUUCUGCAGGUGUGUGCAUUUGGACCUCUCUCCUUUCUGUUUAGCUGGAUUAGCCGAUCGGUAUUAUUUAACAACGUAAAUGCGCAGCCAGUGUACUCUGUAUACGCAAUAUAUGAUUCAUUUUACUCAGCUCACUCACCGAUAUUUUGCAUUGUUGAUGUUGCUGUUUUGAAUUUCCAGGAACCUUAUGAUUCAGGUUACCUUAUGACAAUGGCUGACAAAUGAAAAUUCCCACAGUCUCAUAUUCGGUGAAUAAUUUAAUUGUUUCAUUGGAGUGUUUAUGAACAAUGAAAGAACUGAACUAAGUAAACUAAAAAAAGGUCAAGGCUGUAACUUGUAAGCAGGCUCUGCUUACUCAGAGUGUUUUGGGUGUAUACUCUCUGCCCUUGGUUUUUGUAGUGUAACAGUUCAAUAUUUUGACAUCAGUUCAAGUGCAAGAUCAAGUCAAAGGAUCUGUUUUCACCAGGUUGAUAAUGCCAUUUUCUGAAAUUUGCUCUAAAAGAAUUCUUUAAAAUUAGCAUUUCUUUCUGGCUACUACAUAUAGGUUUAUUUGUAAGUACUUGAGGCUGGCAUGUAGUGCAUUUGAAGUGGAAGCACUUGAUGAACAUAUACUAUGUGUGGAGAGCAUUCACUCAGUGUCAUUAUGUCAUUUUUACCGAGAUUACUUUUCGAGGCUUUUGCAUUGGAGCUCUUCAUUGCUCUUCAUUUCAGCAUAUUACAACAAGGUGCGUUUUGAUUACAUAUGAAACCUCCAAGAGCCAAUGCUUUUUGGCGUAACUGUUGUCACAUCUUUGUGUCAAGUCUGAAUAUGAGCAUAUGCAAAUACGAUUUGAGCUACAGCAGAAUGUUGGAUGAAUAAUGGAUUUUCAGCUAAAUGAAUUAUACAUUUCUGUGUGUUCAAGACAUAAAGCUCUCAAAUGGCUUCAGAAGAGAUGCAUUGUAGCAUAUACUAAACAUUUGCUUCACUAUAUACUAUUUUGUAUUUUAAAACCAAUUUUUCUUUUAUUGAAGAAAAAACAAUGACCAUUAAAAAACCUUUUUGAGUGAGCUAUACCUUUUAAUAUAAGUAUUACAUCUUGUUAUAUUGUAAAUAAAGACCAUGGGCAACAUCUAUCCCCAUUUCAAGAGAACAUCCUAUUUACGUAUUUUCUUUUCUGGAGUGUGUCUCUACAGGUCUGUAUUUUAUCUUAUCUUGCAUUUUGUUCUAACUUAAUCUGUCCCAGUUUAAUCCAUUCCAGGAAUGAGGAUUCGGGCUAUUUUGGAAAUAAUCCUUACAUGAAGAUAUGAAGAUUGAUUCAUUCCUUUCAUUUCAGUGUCUCCAUAUGCGUGGGGGAAUACACAGCAUAUGUCUCUUGCAUGUGCCGUGCAUGCUUUUUCUGGUAUGUACAGAUGCGAAGGAACGCUAAAAUGCGGUGGUUAUUCUAGCAAGAUCUGAAACGAUACUCUCUCGCCUGACCUUUGAGGUGCAGGUCAGACGGAUGCCAACAGGUGGUAAUGUGAGGAACUUGAACCCCCGAUAACUCAUAAAGAAACUCUAGCAGCGCAUAUCUCAGGCAUAUCUGAGUACAGACUCUUGCUCUGCACUGCGACACGCCGAGAUGAGAGGAGAGGUAGAGAGCAGAUAAAAGACUGUGAAAGAAUGAGAAAGGGAGCACUGGAUGCAUAAUUUAUCUUCAUUAAAGAGAUAGUUCACCCAAAAAUAAACAUUCUGUCAUCAUUUACUCUCUUUUCAUUCCAGACAUGUGUGGCACACUUUCUUCUGCUGAGUUGCUGGGAAUUUAGUUUUGCAUAUUAAGAAGAAAGUGCUUUACAGUUUUGAAUCAACGUGUGGGUGAGCAUAUAAAGACAGAACUUAUAUGUUAAGAGAGGAAGAGAUCGGAUCACACGCUGCUUGAGCUGAGGUGCUACAGAGCAGGUAACGUUUCGUAUAAAAGUGUCUCAACUUUCAAUUUUUGCAUUUUCCUUCGUCAUUUCAAAGAAUAAAUACCAUUUAGUGGCUCUUUAAUGUGCAGCAGAUGAACCAAACAUCGUUUCAUAUUUACUUAAAGCACAAAAUAAACAUGAAUGAACAUCGGAAGGUGUUCUGUGUCAUGAUUGGUCAGAUCGCCUGUCAGUCAACCUCAGCCUGUUGAGCUUUAGAGCUGUUUUAUAGCUUUGCGACACUAUGAACUGAAUCAGCAUUGAACUGAAUAAUAACAAUGCUGUCUUUUGUGGAGUGGCUUUAUAGCUGAAAUUGAAGUUUCAUAAUGGAUGAACUUUGCAACAGUGUUUAUGAAACUGUUCAUAUAAAGUGAUAUAUAAAUAUGUGACUUGAUGGGAAUUAAGUUACACUCAUUCCUGAAAAAGUAAUUCAGCUAAUGGUUGGAAAAAAACACAUAUACAUAUUCAGUAGAAGGCAAUAAAAUCACCACCUAGCACCUUUAAUUGCUGAAAUUACAUCUUGUUCCCAAAGUAAAUCAAUUUCCAUUCAAAUAGGGCAAUAGUAAAUCAUCACAAAAACACAACAAAGAAUAAGCAUAAAAUAUCUUUAAUUAAAAUAUCCUCUUUGAAAAUAGCGGAGCAGAGUAUGGCUGAUCAGUAUUGCUUAACAAAGCCCUCGAAUUCAAGUAAAGUACAUUCAGUAACACGUUACACAAUACAUUUCAAACCUGCUGACUUUACAAACACAUAACGUGAGACAUGAGCCCUGGUCCCAGUGCUUUAGAAGAGCUGAUGUUGACCUCCUUGCUUAACCUGCAAGAUUUGUCUAUUGGCUUGUUGGCUUCUGUUAAGACUCACUGUGUUGCUUGUGCAUCGUUUUGCAAUACAGCUUAAGAGACGAUUUACUUAAAGUCCAAGA
Puntigrus tetrazona (Sumatra barb) is the source of this 3029-nucleotide long non-coding RNA. RefSeq lists it as uncharacterized. The record is from RefSeq and is a predicted model, not a curated record. NCBI's taxonomy places the organism in Eukaryota, Metazoa, Chordata, Actinopteri, Cypriniformes, Cyprinidae. The transcript has 3 exons.